Oenanthe melanoleuca is the source of this 971-nucleotide long non-coding RNA. RefSeq lists it as uncharacterized. The record is from RefSeq and is a predicted model, not a curated record. The transcript has 3 exons. Lineage: Eukaryota; Metazoa; Chordata; Aves; Passeriformes; Muscicapidae.
ACAGUGACAGGGUUCAGACCAGGCUGAGGAAUAGAGCGCAGCUCCAACGCCAGGAACCAGCUCUCCAGUGCAGGAUGUCUGAAAAUCAAGGGAUUUGGUACCUUGUCAUUUGAAGACACUUCUGUCAUCAGAGGCUCCUCAUCCAUGAAGAGAUCCCAUCAGCCUGAUGCUCCUCCUGCUUCUGCUGCUGCUCCAGCUUUAUUUCAUUGUCCCGGCACAACAAGAUGCUCAGCAGGUCCACACAGAGAUCAACAAGCUGAGGACCCAAAGUUUUACCAAGCUAUGAAAACAAAGACAUGUUGGAAGUGAAGAAAAGAGGAGGAUGGGAGCAGACAGCACUGAAGCUCUUUCAUUGCACAUGGAGCCACAUUAAUCACCUAUUCCUGCCUUCCUUCUCCCCACCACACAAAUGAAGAGGCUCAUCCUGUUUUACUCAUCAUCACUGACAGCAAAGGUGUGAUCCAUUUGGUCUAAUUUAGUCACCACCUGCCCAGGAUCUGAGGCAGGCACCCUCAGCUCUGUUUAUUAUCAGCAGAGAGAAACAGGUACCCCCAGAGAGCAAUUUGUCUUAUCCCAAGAUGGGGGUGUCUAGAACAGGUCACAAAAAUCACACUCUGGAGAUUUUUGGGGGCAUUAAGGGAGCCUGAGGUGACUGGCUCAAACUUGGGUGCAUAACUUCUGGACAUCCCACUCAGAAUGUCCACAAGAGCUGCUCAAGUGAUGCAAUAAUUCUCACUGCAGGCUGACACGAUCUGAAUGGGACCAGCAUCUCCCAGCACAGAUAAAGUCUGGCCUGGACAGUCACAGUUAGCAACCCUGCAUUUGAUGCCUGACAUGAACCAGGAGAUAAUGCUGGGAUUGCAGCUUUGAGAGCCACCAGGUGAACUCCACCCAGCCAUCAUUAAUCAAACACACUCUGCUUCCACAUCCCAAACUUUGGGGCCUCCAGGCAUGAGGCAGCAAUGCUCAAA